RNAcentral lists this long non-coding RNA (314 nucleotides) under Elaeis guineensis (African oil palm). RNAcentral's name for it is "long non-coding RNA (EGUI_LNC054107)". Lineage: Eukaryota; Viridiplantae; Streptophyta; Magnoliopsida; Arecales; Arecaceae. The record is from RNAcentral.
GAUCUUGAUCCUACUAGGAAGCUCGUCACUCUCUAUAUCUCUCUGUAAUUUGAGAAUAAUUAAUAAAAAAAUUUUAAAUUAUUAAAGAGCUAAAAUAUGCUAAAUAAAAAUUACUUACCAUUUACUUUAUAUGACGAGCGAACGGCCUCAAACCCUCAUAGUGUGCGACGGUCUAUCUCGCCUGAUUAAUGAUAUUUUGGGCACAUCGAUCCUAUACAGUUAACAGUUAAAUUAGUAAGUAACUAACUAAAUUUAAGAAUAAAUAAUUUAAUUAUUAAACUCUAAAAAAAAUUGGAUGCUUAACCUGAUAUGUC